UGAUAAAAAUACUUGAACAAGCAAAAAGAUUGAAACUUUAUGCAAAAUGGACCAAGAAUUGCAUAGAAAUUUAGUUAGUGGAAAUGGUGGGUUUGAACCAAGAUACUUUAGAGGUUUAAGUACCCCUUUUUCAUUUUCUUUAACAAGAUUGGCCUCUUGUUUCAAUCUUCACAAUCAAAGUUUUGAUGAUUAUGGUGAUGGGGUUUCUUAUUGUGAUUAUGGGUAUUCAAG
Molecule: unclassified non-coding RNA, 231 nt
Filed under: Hevea brasiliensis (rubber tree)
Lineage: Eukaryota; Viridiplantae; Streptophyta; Magnoliopsida; Malpighiales; Euphorbiaceae
Source: RNAcentral